Molecule: non-coding RNA, 1426 nt
Organism: Oncorhynchus mykiss (rainbow trout)
Lineage: Eukaryota; Metazoa; Chordata; Actinopteri; Salmoniformes; Salmonidae
Source: RefSeq, a predicted model, not a curated record
AUUUUUGGUAAAGGUGAAAGGGGUUGUUGGUAACUGAAGGACCCUGUAGUCAGGCUUCAGGAACCUCCUUCUAUACUAGUUAUCACACAACAAUAUAUACCUGCUGUUUUUAAUUAUGUAUAAGAGUACCUUUUUAUCACAUGGAUCACUUAGUUGUGGCCCACGGCCUCCUGCAGGCCACCAAACAUCCCUUACCACAGCCUCCUGCAGGCCACCAAACAUCCCUUACCACAGCCUCCUGCAGGCCACCAAACAUCCCUUACCACAGCCUCCUGCAGGCCACCAAACAUCCCUUACCCACAGCCUCCUGCAGGCCACCAAACAUCCCUUACCCACAGCCUCCUGCAGGCCACCAAACAUCCCUCAACCACAACCUCCUGCAGGCCACCAAACAUCCCUCAACCACAACCUCCUGCAGGCCACCAAACAUCCCUCAACCACAACCUCCUGCUGGCCAGCAAACAUCCCUUACCAACAGCCUCCUGCAGGCCACCAAACAUCCCUCAACCACAGCCUCCUGCUGGCCAGCAAACAUCCCUUACCCACAGCCUCCUGAUGGCCAGCAAACAUCCCUUACCCACAGCCUCCUGCAGGCCACCAAACAUCCCUCAACCACAGCCUCCUGCUGGCCAGCAAACAUCCCUUACCCACAGCCUCCUGCAGGCCACCAAACAUCCCUUACCCACAGCCUCCUGCAGGCCACCAAACAUCCCUCGACCACAGCCUCAUGCAGGCCACCAAACAUCCCUCAACCACAGCCUCCUGCAGGCCACCAAACAUCCCUCAACCACAGCCUCCUGCAGGCCACCAAACAUCCCUUACCCACAGCCUCCUGCAGGCCACCAAACAUCCCUCAACCACAACCUCCUGCAGGCCACCAAACAUCCCUCAACCACAACCUCCUGCAGGCCACCAAACAUCCCUCAACCACAACCUCCUGCUGGCCAGCAAACAUCCCUUACCAACAGCCUCCUGCAGGCCACCAAACAUCCCUCAACCACAGCCUCCUGCUGGCCAGCAAACAUCCCUUACCCACAGCCUCCUGAUGGCCAGCAAACAUCCCUUACCCACAGCCUCCUGCAGGCCACCAAACAUCCCUCAACCACAGCCUCCUGCUGGCCAGCAAACAUCCCUUACCCACAGCCUCCUGCAGGCCACCAAACAUCCCUCAACCACAGCCUCCUGCAGGCCACCAAACAUCCCUUACCCACAGCCUCCUGCAGGCCACCAAACAUCCCUUACCCACAGCCUCCUGCAGGCCACCAAACAUCCCUCAACCACAGCCUCCUGCAGGCCACCAAACAUCCCUCAACCACCGCCUCCUGCAGGCCACCAAACAUCCCUCAACCACAGCAUCCUGCAGGCCACCAAACAUCCCUUACCCACAGCUACACAGCCUCCUGCAGGCCUCCAAACAUCCCUUACC